Equus asinus (donkey) is the source of this 149-nucleotide small nuclear RNA. Its record names the gene U1. It matches the Rfam family "U1 spliceosomal RNA". From Rfam's summary of the family: U1 is a small nuclear RNA (snRNA) component of the spliceosome (involved in pre-mRNA splicing). Its 5' end forms complementary base pairs with the 5' splice junction, thus defining the 5' donor site of an intron. There are significant differences in sequence and secondary structure between metazoan and yeast U1 snRNAs, the latter being much longer (568 nucleotides as compared to 164 nucleotides in human). The record is from Ensembl. NCBI's taxonomy places the organism in Eukaryota, Metazoa, Chordata, Mammalia, Perissodactyla, Equidae.
ACAGUCACCUUGGGGGAUGACUACGAUCACAAAGGUGGGUUUUGAGGAGCAAGGCUCACCCGUUGCAUUCUGGGUGUGCCAACCUCUGGGAUUUCCUCAAAUGUGGGAAACUCGGUUGCAUAAUGUGUGGCAGUGGGGGACUGCCCACU